Syzygium oleosum is the source of this 2444-nucleotide RNA transcript. It is a transcript of the gene named acyl-CoA-binding domain-containing protein 4, with no coding region annotated. NCBI's taxonomy places the organism in Eukaryota, Viridiplantae, Streptophyta, Magnoliopsida, Myrtales, Myrtaceae. The record is from RefSeq and is a predicted model, not a curated record. The transcript is spliced from 19 exons.
GACCCCGCCGAUCAGCUCCGAUCCGAGCCAGCGAGAGCGGAAGGCGCGCCAUGGCAAUGGCUCGAGCGAGCUCGGGGCUCGCGUACCCGGAGCGCUUCUACGCCGCCGCCUCCUACGCCGGCUUCGACGGAUCUCCCCGCGCCGCCGCCAAGGGCGUCGCCUCCAAGUUCUCCAACGACUCCGCCCUCCUCCUCUACGCCUUGUACCAGCAGGCAACUAUUGGACCUUGUACUGUACCGAAACCCAGAGGGUGGAGCCCUGUCGAGCAAAGUAAAUGGACUAGUUGGAAUGGCCUAGGAAAUAUGGCGUCUACAGAGGCAAUGCGACUAUUUGUGAAAAUAUUGGAGGAGGAAGAUCCUGGUUGGUACUCGAGAGCAUCUAAUUAUGUUUCUGAACCUGUUUCAGAGCCUGUUGUUAACGUGGAAAUGAAUCAUACUGAAAAAGUUGACCCGGUGGUUGAGAAUGGUGUCUAUACUACUGAGCCAAAAAUUACAUCUACUGAAAAUGGAAUCCUGAGUGAAACUCAGGACAAAGACGCUGCUUCUGAUGGUCUAGGAUCAGUUGCUGUCUACGAUCAAUGGAUUGUACCUCUGACAUCCGGUCAACGUCCAAGAGCACGCUAUGAGCAUGGAGCAGCAAUCAUUCAAGACAAGAUGUACGUAUAUGGUGGAAACCAUAAUGGACGAUACCUAAAUGAUCUUCAUGUUCUGGAUUUGAGGAGCUGGGCUUGGUCAAGAGUAGAGGCAGGGUUCGAGGUUGAUUCAGCAGAGUCACAACCUUCCAGACCUUUAGCUCCAUGUGCUGGUCAUUCCCUGAUACCUUGGGAAAAUAAGCUUAUUUCAGUUGCUGGACACACAAAAGAUCCUUCUGAGACCAUACAAGUGAGAGCAUUUGAUCUACAAACUAAUACUUGGUCAAUCUUGAAGACUUAUGGGAAACCACCGGUGUCCCGGGGAGGUCAAUCAGUAAUUCUGGUUAGCACUAGCUUAGUGAUAUUUGGCGGGCAAGAUGCAAAAAGAUCUCUAUUGAAUGAUCUUCAUAUACUUGACCUUGAAACAAUGACUUGGGAUGAAUUUGAUGCUGCGGGUGUUCCUCCUUCUCCAAGGUCUGAUCAUACUGCUGCGGUACAUGCAGAGCGUUAUCUCCUCAUUUUCGGUGGGGGUUCACACGCUACUUGUUUUAAUGAUCUACAUGUCCUUGAUUUGCAAAAUAUGGAAUGGUCAAAACCCACACAGCAAGGUGAUAUACCUACUCCAAGGGCUGGACAUGCAGGUGUAACUAUUGGAGAGAAUUGGUUUAUAGUUGGUGGUGGUGACAAUAAGAGCGGGGUAUCAGAAACCGUUGUCCUGAACAUGUCUACAUUAGUUUGGUCUGUUGUGACCACUGUCGAAGGGCGCAUUCCAGUUGCUAGUGAGGGUUUGAGUUUGGUUGUAAGCUCCUAUAAUGGUGAAGAUGUCAUCGUAUCUUUUGGAGGAUAUAAUGGGCGUUACAACAAUGAGAUUAAUGUUCUUAAACCAAGCCACAAAUCGACACUACCAGCAAAAGCAAUCGAAAGUCCUUUGCCUGAUAGUGUUUCUGCUGUGCACAAUGCGACAAAUGCUACCAGAGACUUGGAGUCAGAGGUUGAAGCGGUCCAAGAUGGAAAAAGAGAAGUUUUGGACAAUAUAGAGAAAGAUCCCAGGAAAUCAAGAAAUGAGGGAACUGCAGAACAUCUUUUGGCAACCCUCAAGGCAGAGAAAGAAGAAUUAGAAUCUUCACUCAGCAAGGAGACGUUGUUGUCUCUUCAAUUAAAGCAAGAAAUCUCAGAAGCCGAGACUCGCAACACCGAUCUGUACAAGGAGCUUCAGUCUGUGCGGGGUCAGCUUGCCGCAGAGCAGUCAAGGUGUUUCAAACUUGAGGUCGAUGUGGCAGAACUAAGGCAGAAGCUGCAAAUGAUGGAGACGUUGCAAAAGGAGCUUGAACUCCUCCAGCGACAAAAGGCUGCUUCCGAACAAGCUGUGCUAAUGGCAAAGCAGAGGCAGAACUCCAGCGGAAUGUGGACGUGGAUCACCGGAACACCUCCAAGCCCAAAAGUUGACGAUGUCUGAAAUUUUCGGAGUCCUCCACAACAUCGACAGCUUUUACCAAAGAUUUUUUCCUUUUUUGCCUAUUUAACCCUGUUCUUUGUAUGAAGAGAAUAAAAAAGGUGAUGCCUAAGAUUUUUGCAUGAAUUUGUUGUAGAUUUAGUUCUUUGGCUUGAGUCAGGGCUAUGUAAUGUGAACAGAGAGAGAGAGAGAGAAAGUAUAGGUUGUCAACAUGUCAUUGCCUCAUCAGCUAUUGAGUAUAUUAAGUGAGAAAUACUAAAGCUAUCGGGCAUCUACAGUGUCAAUUACUUUUCUUUUUUUGGACAUUCAUCUUUGUGACUUUCCUAUAAUAUAAAUUUAAACUGGCAUUUUUCCUUCGCA